This 541-nucleotide transfer RNA is filed under the name uncultured Prochlorococcus sp. Its description in RNAcentral is "16S-23S ribosomal RNA intergenic spacer". The stretch from base 209 to 281 matches the Rfam family "tRNA". Lineage: Bacteria; Bacillati; Cyanobacteriota; Cyanophyceae; Synechococcales; Prochlorococcaceae. The record is from RNAcentral.
CAGGGAGACAACAAAAUGUUUAAUAUUAUUUUGUCACCUUAGGUCGAUCGGUAUCUCACGUUCUUAAUUAAUUAAGAAUUUCAUUCCCUAAGUUUUUCUAGGUCACACCCAUUAUUUUCCCUGGGCCAUUAGCUCAGGUGGUUAGAGCGCACCCCUGAUAAGGGUGAGGUCCCUGGUUCAAGUCCAGGAUGGCCCAUAUCUCUAUGUUGGGGGUAUAGCUCAGUUGGUAGAGCGCCUGCUUUGCAAGCAGGAUGUCAGCGGUUCGAGUCCGCUUACCUCCACUGAUUACCACCUCUGCCAUAAUUUUUAAAGGGAUUAUUUUGAGUAGUGAUCAAAUUCUGAACGAAUCUAGCUUCCUAAUGAAAUCAUUAAGAUGCUGGACUCAUUGAAUUAAUUUCAUUGUUUUCAGAGAACCUUGACAACUGCAUAGAUUAUUUUUAAAGACAAUAAGCAUCUUUAAUGAUGCAGAUUUAUUAUUUGUGCAAAUGCAUUAAUAACAAUUCUAUUAAGCUGAUGCUUCAAUUUUGAAGUUAUUGGUCAA